GUAUUCCGCUCCAUAGCGUAUAUUAAAGUUGUUGCAGUUAAAAAGCUCGUAGUUGAAUUUCGGGGUUAGUAGGCUGGUCAUGCCACCGGUAUGUACUGGUCUUUCUGAUUCCUCCUUCCUGAUGAACUGUAAUGCCAUUAAUUUGGUGUUGCAGGGAAUCUGGACUGUUACUUUGAAAAAAUUAGAGUGUUUAAAGCAGGCUAACGCUUGAAUACAUUAGCAUGGAAUAAUGAAAUAGGACGUUCGAUCCUAUUUUGUUGGUUUCUAGGAUUGACGUAAUGAUUAAUAGGGAUAGUUGGGGGCAUUAGUAUUCAAUUGUCAGAGGUGAAAUUCUUGGAUUUAUUGAAGACUAACUACUGCGAAAGCAUUUGCCAAGGAUGUUUUCAUUAAUCAAGAACGAAAGUUAGGGGAUCGAAGACGAUCAGAUACCGUCGUAGUCUUAACCAUAAACUAUGCCGACUAGGGAUCGGAUGAUGUUAAUUUUUUAAUGACUCAUUCGGCGCCUUACGGGAAACA
Molecule: ribosomal RNA, 516 nt
Filed under: uncultured Glomus
Lineage: Eukaryota; Fungi; Glomeromycota; Glomeromycetes; Glomerales; Glomeraceae
Description: SSU rRNA
Rfam family: Eukaryotic small subunit ribosomal RNA
Source: RNAcentral